RNAcentral lists this unclassified non-coding RNA (332 nucleotides) under Hevea brasiliensis (rubber tree). Lineage: Eukaryota; Viridiplantae; Streptophyta; Magnoliopsida; Malpighiales; Euphorbiaceae. The record is from RNAcentral.
GGAAGCAGUGAUGAUUCAAUAUAUGUUUAUGACUUGGACGCUGAUAAACUUGCAUCACGUUUCGAAGCUCACGCUUCCGAUGUGAACACAGUUACUUUUGCUGAUGAAAGUGGCAACCUCAUAUAUUCAGGCAGUGAUGAUUACCUCUGUAAGGUCUGGGACAGGCGCUGCUUUAACAGUAAUGGACAACCAGCAGGAACUUUGACCGGACAUUUAGAAGGUAUCACAUUUAUUGAUAGCCGUGGAGAUGGCCGUUAUUUCAUUUCAAAUGGUAAAGAUCAGACUACCAAACUUUGGGACAUUCGCAAAAUAUCUUCUGAUGUUAACAGUUC